CGCUGAGAAUAUAAACAACAACACGUUCGGAUAGUGAGUCUAUCUGAACGCUUGAAAACAAUUCAGUCUAUCAUGUUAUCUCGACCUGUAAACAACAUAGUCCUUCUACAAAAUUUAGAAAAUACAUAUAUAAACCGAAGGAAAUUAUGACAAUCCUUUUUCGUGCCUAUUUAACCAUCGUUCAGAUGUUCCCUUUCCAAGAAGUUAUAAAGGUCAACGUGAAGUAUCUUUUCCGAGAAAUAAUAUCGGCCAUCAACCAUCGACACAAACAUGAGAUUACUCAAAGGACGGAGAUUAAUAAUUUUCAUCCUUCCCAUGAUUUUUCUCCAAGAGAUUACAUCAUAGAUAAAGAGGAAGAAGAAGAAGAAGAAAAUAAAAAGGAAGAAAGAAAAAAUGUUGAAGAAAGUCAGAACACGAAUGUAAUUCGUUGAGAAGGAUCAUCGUUCGGAAUUAAAGAAGAUCUUCAAAAGGUUUACAACUGGUGCCUCGAAAGCGAUAGAAAUGCAAAAUGACAUGAGACGUUGGAAAACUUAAACGCAGUCAGCGAAGUAUCCACGAUAUAUGAAUAUAAAAUCGUAUGAUAUGAACAUAGAAUAGCAUUGUUCAAUGCUGCGAAAGGAACAAAUGAUUUUGAAAUAAUAUUAUCUCGCUUUAGGCUGUUAUCUACCUGAUGCAAGGUGCAACGGGCCAUCCAUUUGCGCAACGGUGAUCAUCAUGAUGACAGGAUGCACCAAAUAAGCGCAAUAAGUUAGCCGUGAUAGCGGAUACAUCAGCCUCAAAGACAGAAGGCUGUCUACCAUUUUAGCUGAACCGGUACAACACUGGAUCACGAUGAAGGCCACUGCUAUUGCCCAGGCAGUAUGACCUAAGGCCGCGUAAAUUGAACUCACUACUACCGUUAAAUUAGCUGGAUAUAAACCGUAGACCACUGAGAACAUUAUCAAUCCUGACAGCAACCAGCCUAUCAACUUUGCGCACUGAAAGUGAAAGGACGAUUCUUCAAUCCUUUUGUUUUUCUUUCUUUUUUUACCUUUUCUUUUUCAUUUUCAUACUUUUCUAUCUUUUAUUAUUAUAAUGAAUCGUUUUCUACUCGACUAAGUCGUGGAAAAAAAAAAAAGAAAAAGAUAAAAAAGCGUCGCGCGAUAUUAUCGUUCUACUUUAUAUUUAGAUGGAACAAAGUUUUGGAAUAUGAAGAUUAAACUUGGUGUUGGCGAAAUAGAAAAUAAUCGUCGUUGGAGGAAGAUCGAUUCGUUGAAUCGAGGCCAUGUUUGGUAGUGCGGUGUGCCUCUUAAGAGAGGCAUACGCCAUUCAUACGAAAUAUAAUACGUCUCCCGAUAAUAUUGUGUCUAGCGGUGUCCUAUUUUCUGCUUUUUAUAAUAUCAUCUUUAGAAUUUUCAUAGAAUUGAGGAUCUUGUAAUGUAACCUAGUUGGUUUUGAAUAAAAAAUAUCCUGUAAUGGUACCAACGAAAUAAGGACCGGCUCUUAACCAAGGCUUAUCGUAGAGUUCGUCAAAAAGGGCAAAUGGUUCUUGUAUUCUAGAUUUGAAAAAA
Long non-coding RNA from Vespa mandarinia (Asian giant hornet), 1550 nucleotides. The record is from RefSeq and is a predicted model, not a curated record. NCBI's taxonomy places the organism in Eukaryota, Metazoa, Arthropoda, Insecta, Hymenoptera, Vespidae.